UUUUAUUUUUUUCUAUUAUAUAGAAAAGGAAAGAUGGUGGACCACGGACAAAAUUGUUAUUUUGCUCAAAGGAAAAUUGUCAUUUUGCUCAAAGAAAAAAAGUGCCUGUAACAAUGCUAACUCCACCUCUUACGACCUUUUUUCCGGCAUUCCGACCUCCAUAUGGGUCUAGAAACAUCGCUCUUCCGACUUUCAUCUUUUCUAUUCCAACAGAUCGGAUCAGUUCUCCUUCUUCAAACUUUCAAUAAUAUUCUUAGCUCUUUUUAUCUUCUUAUUUAUCUAUUACAUUUCAGGAAUCAUUAUCUCAAUCUCUGCUCCAUCUCUUUCUUUCUUUGUUUCUUUUAGAUCUUUUUAACUAUUUCCAAUUUCAUGGAUAAAUUUCCUUGAAUUUCGUGUUUUCCAACCAGACGAUGCGGAAUCACCAUUUUAAGGGUUAUUAUCUGUCCAAUUUCAUUGUUGUUACCUUCUUCUCGCUUCUUAAGGAAGGGUUAACAAGGCUCAAGAUGAUUUGGGAACUCUUCUUAGAAGUUGUGUUCGAGCAACAUCUGUUUGUUUGAAUUUAAAUUCGUUUAUCUAGCUAGGAAUUUAUGGAAUAGGGAAGGUAUGUUAAAGGACCUGUUAUGGGAUUGCUUUAUAUGAUAACUCAUUGUUGUUGGUGGGAUUUGAGAGUAAAGGAAUGGAGGAGUAGGUAAUAGAGUACUUAGGAUUGAUAUAGAUUGUAUGAAGUUGCAACAAUAUCCAACAACUUUGAGAAGCAGACAAGAGGGAUGUAGAUGUAAGGGCAUGUAUACCUUAGCCAAGGAAGUAGCUUAAUUUAUUUAUUUUACUUUUUAUUCCCUGUUAUUUGGCAUUUACUAAUACAAUGUGUAUUCAACAAUAAAUUAUAGUUGUUUGUGUGAGCACCUAAUUUUUGAUCGUGCUUGAAUUUUCGCCCACUCAUUUCACCAAUACUACACUUUGUCCCCACUCCACUUUACCUUGUCCCCCAUGCUUGUCCCCACUCACAACCCCCCACAUCUUCCCUAUUCCCAAAAGAAGAAAAAACGGAUCCCUCCCCCUAAAGAAAAAAUAUAGCAGCCCUCUGCUUUCUUGGGAGAGAAGAGCUUCCUCCCUCAUUUUGGAAACCAACAGCCACACAUCCUCUCUUCUAUUUUAUUUUUCUCCUACCACCUAACCAGAAAUCAGUCAUUUUCUUUGAUCCAUUUUUAGCCAUGUGAGAUCACCCUUAGCCACACAAAAAAAAAAAAACUCCAGCUGAAAAUCAGCAGCAAACCCAACAGCAAAAACAUCUGCGAACAGCUCAAAAACGACCUCAAAACAAGCUCCAAAAAAAUACAGCACUUCUCCUUCCCGAACCAACCAAAAAUAUCUCAAAGUUGUCCCCAUUUUUCGAGUGGAGUUCGUCGCAUGGUUAUGAUUCGAGUCGAGUUCUUCCGGCGAGUUUUCUCCGGUGAGGUUGCUGAUCGAAUUUUCAUCAAGGCCUAGUUGAUUUGUUGAGAUACAUAAGCUCAAAAAUCAGAGUGUUGUCUUAGGAGGUCAAUCUUCUAUCUUUCUUUUACUACUUUAGUUGAGUGCUAUGUUAUGCUUGCUUCUGUUUAAGUCAUUUGAUGGUUUUAUUUUGUUUAAAAAUCUUGAACCUACAUUGAGUGCUUAGUAAGGUCUAUUUCUAUUCAUUCUAUGUUAUUUAUA
Molecule: non-coding RNA, 1689 nt
Organism: Nicotiana tabacum (common tobacco)
Lineage: Eukaryota; Viridiplantae; Streptophyta; Magnoliopsida; Solanales; Solanaceae
Source: RefSeq, a predicted model, not a curated record